GGAGGGGCUGUGGCUCAAUAGUAGAGCAUCAGGUUGGCAAGCAAAAGGACCCAAGUUCAAUUCCUGACUUCCUCCA
RNAcentral lists this transfer RNA (76 nucleotides) under Sphaerodactylus townsendi. RNAcentral's name for it is "tRNA-Ala". It matches the Rfam family "tRNA". From Rfam's summary of the family: Transfer RNA (tRNA) molecules are approximately 80 nucleotides in length. Their secondary structure includes four short double-helical elements and three loops (D, anti-codon, and T loops). The record is from RNAcentral. Lineage: Eukaryota; Metazoa; Chordata; Lepidosauria; Squamata; Sphaerodactylidae.